UGUUCUCUAAAUAGGGACUUGUAUGAAUGGCCACACGAGGGUUUUACUGUCUCUUACUUCCAAUCAGUGAAAUUGACCUUCCCGUGAAGAGGCGGGAAUAUAUUAAUAAGACGAGAAGACCCUAUGGAGCUUUAACUACUUAGCCCAAAGAAAUAAAUUUCAUUACUAAGGAAACAACAACACUCUUUAUGGGUUAACAGCUUUGGUUGGGGUGACCUCGGAGAACAAAAAAUCCUCCGAGCGAUUUUAAAGACUAGACCUACAAGUCGAAUCACACAAUCGUUUAUUGAUCCAAAAAAUUGAUCAACGGAACAAGUUACCCUAGGGAUAACAGCGCAAUCCUAUUCAAGAGUCCAUAUCGACAAUAGGGUUUACGACCUCGAUGUUGGAUCAGGACAUCCCGAUGGUGCAACCGCUAUCAAAGGUUCGUUUGUUCAACGAUUAAAGU
RNAcentral lists this ribosomal RNA (448 nucleotides) under Cervus elaphus (red deer). RNAcentral describes it as "partial large subunit ribosomal RNA". It matches the Rfam family "Bacterial large subunit ribosomal RNA", at positions 1970 to 2594 of the family's 2925-position model. Lineage: Eukaryota; Metazoa; Chordata; Mammalia; Artiodactyla; Cervidae. The record is from RNAcentral.